UUUAAAGUCUAAUCUGCCCUAUGAGGAUUUAAAUGGCCGCGGUAUUUUGACCGUGCAAAGGUAGCAUAAUAAUUAGUUUUUUAAUUGAAAGCUGGAAUGAAUGAUUGGACGAGAAAAUAACUGUCUCAGCCUAAUUUUUAGAAUUUUAUUUUUAAGUAAAAAAGCUUAAAUUUUUUUAAAAGACGAGAAGACCCUAUAGAGUUUGAUAUUAGUUGAAAUAUAAAUUUUUUAGGUUUUUUAUAUUUGUAUUUGGGCUUAUAUUUUGUUGGGGUGAUGGAAAAAUUUAAUAAACUUUUUUUAAAAUAAAAUAAACAUUUAUUUAUGAUUGUUUGAUCCAAUUUGUUUGAUUAUAAGAUUAAAUUACCUUAGGGAUAACAGCGUAAUUUUUUUUUAGAGUUCUUAUCGAAAGAAAAGAUUGCGACCUCGAUGUUGGAUUAAAAUUAAUUUUUGGUGUAGAAGCUAAAAAAUUGGGUCUGUUCGACCUUUAAAAUUUUACA
Molecule: ribosomal RNA, 497 nt
Filed under: Comaserica sp. DA4327
Lineage: Eukaryota; Metazoa; Arthropoda; Insecta; Coleoptera; Scarabaeidae
Description: partial 16S large subunit ribosomal RNA
Rfam family: Bacterial large subunit ribosomal RNA
Source: RNAcentral